GCUACGGGUGGUAGCAGUGGGGAAUAUUGGACAAUGGGGGGAACCCUGAUCCAGCGACGCCGCGUGAGUGAAGAAGUAUUUCGGUAUGUAAAGCUCUAUCAGCAGGGAAGAAAAUGACGGUACCUGACUAAGAAGCCCCGGCUAACUACGUGCCAGCAGCCGCGGUAAUACGUAGGGGGCAAGCGUUAUCCGGAUUUACUGGGUGUAAAGGGAGCGUAGACGGCGGUGCAAGCCAGAUGUGAAAGCCCGGGGCUCAACCCCGGGACUGCAUUUGGAACUGUGCUGCUAGAGUGUCGGAGAGGCAGGUGGAAUUCCUAGUGUAGCGGUGAAAUGCGUAGAUAUUAGGAGGAACACCAGUGGCGAAGGCGGCCUGCUGGACGAUGACUGACGUUGAGGCUCGAAAGCGUGGGGAGCAAACAGGAUUAGAUACCCGAGUAGUC
This 440-nucleotide ribosomal RNA is filed under the name uncultured bacterium. RNAcentral describes it as "partial 16S ribosomal RNA". It matches the Rfam family "Bacterial small subunit ribosomal RNA", at positions 338 to 795 of the family's 1533-position model. The record is from RNAcentral.